Molecule: non-coding RNA, 325 nt
Filed under: Flavobacterium sp. A45
Lineage: Bacteria; Pseudomonadati; Bacteroidota; Flavobacteriia; Flavobacteriales; Flavobacteriaceae
Description: Bacterial small subunit ribosomal RNA
Rfam family: Bacterial small subunit ribosomal RNA
Source: Rfam by way of RNAcentral
ACGAUGAAGAGUUUGAUCCUGGCUCAGGAUGAACGCUAGCGGCAGGCUUAACACAUGCAAGUCGAGGGGUAUAGUUCUUCGGGACUAGAGACCGGCGCACGGGUGCGUAACGCGUAUGCAAUCUACCUUUUACAGAGGGAUAGCCCAGAGAAAUUUGGAUUAAUACCUCAUAGUAUAGUACAAUCGCAUGAUUGAACUAUUAAAGUCACAACGGUAAAAGAUGAGCAUGCGUCCCAUUAGCUAGUUGGUAAGGUAACGGCUUACCAAGGCUACGAUGGGUAGGGGUCCUGAGAGGGAGAUCCCCCACACUGGUACUGAGACACGG